CCUACGGGAGGCUGCAGUGGGGAAUAUUGCACAAUGGGGGAAACCCUGAUGCAGCGACGCCGCGUGAGUGAAGAAGUAAUUCGUUACUUAAAGCUCUAUCAGCAGGGAAGUAAAUGACUGUACCUGAGUAAGAAGCCCCGUCUAACUACGUGCCAGCAGCCGCGGUACUACGUAGGGGGCAAGCGUUAUCCGGAUUUACUGGGUGUAAAGGGAGCGUAGACGGUUCGCCAGGUCUGUAGUGAAAUGCCGCAGCUUAACUGCGGAACUGCUUUGGAAACUGGCGAACUAGAGUGCGGGAGGGGUAAGCGGAAUGCGUGGUGUAGCGGUGAAAUGCGUAGAUAUGAGGAGGAACACCGGUGGCGAAGGCGGCUUACUGGACCGUAACUGACGUUGAGGCUCGAAAGCGUGGGGAGCAAACAGGAUUAGAUACCCUAGUAGUC
RNAcentral lists this ribosomal RNA (440 nucleotides) under uncultured bacterium. RNAcentral describes it as "partial 16S ribosomal RNA". It matches the Rfam family "Bacterial small subunit ribosomal RNA", at positions 338 to 795 of the family's 1533-position model. The record is from RNAcentral.